UUGGCAGAGGGCAGUAGGCAGUAGGCCCUGGGCUGGGCCUGGCAGACCUGGCUGCUGUCUCCAGGUUCUGCCUAGGGUGCCUGCUAGCCCACUCUCCUCCUCUGAGCCAAUCAUAGAAUAAACAGGGAAGAAAUCAAAAGGUGGCUUAGCACAGCUGGACAGGGAGGCAGAGGACAUAUAGUGCCACUCCAGGGACAGGAAGGAAGACAGUCAAUACCUCUUGCCUGACACCAGGUAGAUCUCAUUGCUAGAGCUCUGGGGGACUGACAUAAUAACCUCUGACCCUCUCAGAGGGACAACAGGGACAAGGUGAGGCAGGGAAAGGCUGGGAGACAAGUCCUGGCACCACCAAGCCAUAUCCCACAAAUAGCAAUGAGAUAAUACAGAAUAGGCCAGAACCAACCCGGAAAGAGACGCACGGUGAAAAUUCAGCACAACCUGAGGGAAAGCUAGGAUCUCUAGCCGUGCGGUGCUUCAUGGACUCUUCCCUGCAGGUACCAGCCAGCCCACCCCAACAAGACGAGGGCCUCCCUGUGGGCCUCUCAGCUAUUUCAGUCCCCUGGAAAAACCUGGGCCCCAGCAAAGGAGCUGAAGCUUAAGGAUGAAGAGUGUGAACGGCUUUGCAAAGUGCGCGCACAGCUGGAGCAGGAGCUGGAGGAGCUGACGGCCAGCCUGUUUGAGGAAGCUCACAAGAUGGUUCGGGAAGC
Molecule: long non-coding RNA, 707 nt
Filed under: Rattus norvegicus (Norway rat)
Lineage: Eukaryota; Metazoa; Chordata; Mammalia; Rodentia; Muridae
Description: long non-coding RNA NONRATT001536
Source: RNAcentral